AAAGAACUCACAUGUUCUUAAGAGAGAGUAUAGCUAUGUCAUGCCUCCAGACCUACUUCCAGGGUUUCAAGAAAACCUGCCCAAUAAUUCUCUUCAACCUGUAUAAAUGAAGAGCAUGAUCAGAGGAGAUGGCCAGGAAAAUUCCAAGCAAGCAGGGCUUCAAGCAAACAUAGAGGAAGAAACAAGAAUGAGGAAACAGGAUUCAGAAGGUGAAAGAACAGGAGAAAGGCCACACAACCAGAAACCAAAGCAUUCAUGCUAUUUACUUAUCCACUGGACACUUCCUGUUGUUCACACCUAUGUAUGCUUGGCAACUCAUUUUUCAAAAAAGAC
Molecule: long non-coding RNA, 333 nt
Organism: Heterocephalus glaber (naked mole-rat)
Lineage: Eukaryota; Metazoa; Chordata; Mammalia; Rodentia; Bathyergidae
Source: Ensembl